This 443-nucleotide ribosomal RNA is filed under the name uncultured bacterium. Its description in RNAcentral is "partial 16S ribosomal RNA". It matches the Rfam family "Bacterial small subunit ribosomal RNA", at positions 338 to 795 of the family's 1533-position model. The record is from RNAcentral.
CCUACGGGAGGCAGCAGUGGGGAAUAUUGGGCAAUGGGCGCAAGCCUGACCCAGCAACGCCGCGUGAAGGACGAAGGCUUUCGGGUUGUAAACUUCUUUUCUCAGGGACGAAGCAAGUGACGGUACCUGCGGAAUAAGCCACGGCUAACUACGUGCCAGCAGCCGCGGUAAUACGGAGGUGGCAAGCGUUUUCCGGAUUUAAUGGGUGUAAAGGGCGUUUAGGCGGGACUGAAAGUCAGAUGUGAAAACCACGGGCUCAAUCUUUGUCAUGCAUUUGAAACUGUAGUUCUUGAGUACUGGAGAGGCAGACGGAAUUACUAGUGUAGCGGUGAAAUGCGUAGAUAUUAGGAGGAACACCAGUGGCGAAGGCGGUCUGCUGGACAGCAACUGACGCUGAGGCGCGAAAGCGUGGGGAGCAAACAGGAUUAGAUACCCUGGUAGUC